This 497-nucleotide ribosomal RNA is filed under the name uncultured bacterium. RNAcentral's name for it is "partial 16S ribosomal RNA". It matches the Rfam family "Bacterial small subunit ribosomal RNA", at positions 28 to 507 of the family's 1533-position model. The record is from RNAcentral.
GAUGAACGCUGGCGGCGUGCCUAAUACAUGCAAGUCGAGCGAACGGACGAGAAGCUUGCUUCUCUGAUGUUAGCGGCGGACGGGUGAGUAACACGUGGAUAACCUACCUAUAAGACUGGGAUAACUUCGGGAAACCGGAGCUAAUACCGGAUAAUAUUUUGAACCGCAUGGUUCAAAAGUGAACGACGGUCUUGCUGUCACUUAUAGAUGGAUCCGCGCUGCAUUAGCUAGUUGGUAAGGUAACGGCUUACCAAGGCAACGAUGCAUAGCCGACCUGAGAGGGUGAUCAGCCACACUGGAACUGAGACACGGUCCAGACUCCUACGGGAGGCAGCAGUAGGGAAUCUUCCGCAAUGGGCGAAAGCCUGACGGAGCAACGCCGCGUGAGUGAUGAAGGUCUUCGGAUCGUAAAACUCUGUUAUUAGGGAAGAACAUAUGUGUAAGUAACUGUGCACAUCUUGACGGUACCUAAUCAGAAAGCCCCGGCUAACUACGUG